This 253-nucleotide ribosomal RNA is filed under the name uncultured bacterium. Its description in RNAcentral is "partial 16S ribosomal RNA". It matches the Rfam family "Bacterial small subunit ribosomal RNA", at positions 524 to 776 of the family's 1533-position model. The record is from RNAcentral.
UACGUAGGGUGCGAGCGUUGUCCGGAAUUACUGGGCGUAAAGAGCUCGUAGGUGGUUUGUCGCGUUGUUCGUGAAAACUCACAGCUCAACUGUGGGCGUGCGGGCGAUACGGGCAGACUGGAGUACUGCAGGGGAGACUGGAAUUCCUGGUGUAGCGGUGGAAUGCGCAGAUAUCAGGAGGAACACCGGUGGCGAAGGCGGGUCUCUGGGCAUUACCUGACGCUGAGGAGCGAAAGCAUGGGGAGCGAACAGG